AGAGUUUGAUCCUGGCUCAGGACGAACGCUGGCGGCGUGCCUAAUACAUGCAAGUAGAACGCUGAAGAGAGGAGCUUGCUCUUCUUGGAUGAGUUGCGAACGGGUGAGUAACGCGUAGGUAACCUGCCUUGUAGCGGGGGAUAACUAUUGGAAACGAUAGCUAAUACCGCAUAACAAUGGAUGACACAUGUCAUUUAUUUGAAAGGGGCAAUUGCUCCACUACAAGAUGGACCUGCGUUGUAUUAGCUAGUAGGUGAGGUAACGGCUCACCUAGGCGACGAUACAUAGCCGACCUGAGAGGGUGAUCGGCCACACUGGGACUGAGACACGGCCCAGACUCCUACGGGAGGCAGCAGUAGGGAAUCUUCGGCAAUGGGGGCAACCCUGACCGAGCAACGCCGCGUGAGUGAAGAAGGUUUUCGGAUCGUAAAGCUCUGUUGUAAGUCAAGAACGAGUGUGAGAGUGGAAAGUUCACACUGUGACGGUAGCUUACCAGAAAGGGACGGCUAACUACGUGCCAGCAGCCGCGGUAAUACGUAGGUCCCGAGCGUUGUCCGGAUUUAUUGGGCGUAAAGCGAGCGCAGGCGGUUUGAUAAGUCUGAAGUUAAAGGCUGUGGCUCAACCAUAGUUCGCUUUGGAAACUGUCAAACUUGAGUGCAGAAGGGGAGAGUGGAAUUCCAUGUGUAGCGGUGAAAUGCGUAGAUAUAUGGAGGAACACCGGUGGCGAAAGCGGCUCUCUGGUCUGUAACUGACGCUGAGGCUCGAAAGCGUGGGGAGCGAACAGGAUUAGAUACCCUGGUAGUCCACGCCGUAAACGAUGAGUGCUAGGUGUUGGAUCCUUUCCGGGAUUCAGUGCCGCAGCUAACGCAUUAAGCACUCCGCCUGGGGAGUACGACCGCAAGGUUGAAACUCAAAGGAAUUGACGGGGGCCCGCACAAGCGGUGGAGCAUGUGGUUUAAUUCGAAGCAACGCGAAGAACCUUACCAGGUCUUGACAUCCCGAUGCUAUUUCUAGAGAUAGAAAGUUACUUCGGUACAUCGGUGACAGGUGGUGCAUGGUUGUCGUCAGCUCGUGUCGUGAGAUGUUGGGUUAAGUCCCGCAACGAGCGCAACCCCUAUUGUUAGUUGCCAUCAUUCAGUUGGGCACUCUAGCGAGACUGCCGGUAAUAAACCGGAGGAAGGUGGGGAUGACGUCAAAUCAUCAUGCCCCUCAUGACCUGGGCUACACACGUGCUACAAUGGUUGGUACAACGAGUUGCGAGUCGGUGACGGCAAGCUAAUCUCUUAAAGCCAAUCUCAGUUCGGAUUGUAGGCUGCAACUCGCCUACAUGAAGUCGGAAUCGCUAGUAAUCGCGGAUCAGCACGCCGCGGUGAAUACGUUCCCGGGCCUUGUACACACCGCCCGUCACACCACGAGAGUUUGUAACACCCGAAGUCGGUGAGGUAACCUUUUGGAGCCAGCCGCCUAAGGUGGGAUAGAUGAUUGGGGUGAAGUCGUAACAAGGUA
This 1506-nucleotide ribosomal RNA is filed under the name metagenome. RNAcentral's name for it is "bacterial SSU rRNA". It matches the Rfam family "Bacterial small subunit ribosomal RNA". The record is from RNAcentral.